CCAGAACACUCUUCUGAGAAGGGAGAGAUUCAGUUGGAGAGAUGGGAGAGCAGGCAUUAGCUUCAUCAUCUCCAACACAGCAGUGACUGUUAUUCACAGUGCAGCCACAUUGGAGAGUCUGUCAGUCUGAGCUGCUCUUCUCAGGCCAAGAUCAUAUUUUGCACCACCUUCUUAUCCUGGAGUGCUACUAGCAACAUCUGCUUCUGGAAACAGAUUAAUCAAGUGCUAGCCAGGCCUGGGUGUUUUUAUUCUAGCUGCAACCAAUUAUCUCAACUUUCUCAAUUAACUCAUCUUUUUGUUUAUUAGGACUUA
Molecule: long non-coding RNA, 312 nt
Organism: Pelmatolapia mariae (spotted tilapia)
Lineage: Eukaryota; Metazoa; Chordata; Actinopteri; Cichliformes; Cichlidae
Exons: 3
Source: RefSeq, a predicted model, not a curated record